This is a non-coding RNA of Cordylochernes scorpioides, 75 nucleotides long. The record is from the annotation of a GenBank genome assembly. Lineage: Eukaryota; Metazoa; Arthropoda; Arachnida; Pseudoscorpiones; Chernetidae.
GUCCAGGGUAGCCUAGUGGACAUGGCGUCUGCCCCGGUAAGCGGAACAUUGUGGGUUCGAUUCCAUCCCCGGACA